CCUACGGGAGGCAGCAGUGGGGAAUAUUGCACAAUGGGGGAAACCCUGAUGCAGCGACGCCGCGUGAGUGAAGAAGUAUUUCGGUAUGUAAAGCUCUGUCAGCAGGGAAGAAAAUGACGGUACCUGAACAAGAAGCCCCGGCGAACUACGUGCCAGCAGCCGCGGUAAUACGUAGGGGGCAAGCGUUAUCCGGAUUUACUGGGUGUAAAGGGGGCGUAGACGGCAGGGCAAGUCUGGAGUGAAAGGCGGGGGCUCAACCCCCGGACUGCUCUGGAAACUGCCAGGCUGGAGUGCAGGAGAGGUAAGUGGAAUGCCUAGUGUAGCGGUGAAAUGCGUAGAUAUUAGGAGGAACACCAGUGGCGAAGGCGGCUUACUGGACUGUAACUGACGUUGAGGCUCGAAAGCGUGGGGAGCAAACAGGAUUAGAUACCCCAGUAGUC
This 440-nucleotide ribosomal RNA is filed under the name uncultured bacterium. Its description in RNAcentral is "partial 16S ribosomal RNA". It matches the Rfam family "Bacterial small subunit ribosomal RNA", at positions 338 to 795 of the family's 1533-position model. The record is from RNAcentral.